CCUACGGGAGGCAGCAGUGGGGAAUAUUGCACAAUGGGGGAAACCCUGAUGCAGCGACGCCGCGUGAGUGAAGAAGUAUUUCGGUAUGUAAAGCUCUAUCAGCAGGGAAGAAAAUGACGGUACCUGACUAAGAAGCCCCGGCUAACUACGUGCCAGCCGCCGCGGUAAU
Molecule: ribosomal RNA, 169 nt
Filed under: uncultured bacterium
Lineage: Bacteria
Description: partial 16S ribosomal RNA
Rfam family: Bacterial small subunit ribosomal RNA
Source: RNAcentral